UGGACAAGGAGUGUGACCAUUGAAGCACAGC
Molecule: non-coding RNA, 31 nt
Filed under: Macaca fascicularis (crab-eating macaque)
Lineage: Eukaryota; Metazoa; Chordata; Mammalia; Primates; Cercopithecidae
Also listed under: 1 other name
Source: RNAcentral